UCUCCGUAGGUGAACCUGCGGAGGGAUCAUUACUGAGUGAGGGUUUAACCGCCCGACCUCCAACCCUUUGUGAAUCGUACUCGUUGCUUCGGGGGCGACCCUGCCGUCCGCGGCUGAGCGCCCCCGGAGGUCAUCAAAACCCUGCAUCUCUGCGUCGGUGUCAUAAGUUAAUCAAACAAAACUUUCAACAACGGAUCUCUUGGUUCUGGCAUCGAUGAAGAACGCAGC
Molecule: unclassified non-coding RNA, 228 nt
Filed under: uncultured fungus
Lineage: Eukaryota; Fungi
Description: sequence contains ITS1, 5.8S rRNA gene
Rfam family: 5.8S ribosomal RNA (bases 180-228)
Source: RNAcentral